RNAcentral lists this ribosomal RNA (253 nucleotides) under uncultured bacterium. RNAcentral describes it as "partial 16S ribosomal RNA". It matches the Rfam family "Bacterial small subunit ribosomal RNA", at positions 524 to 776 of the family's 1533-position model. The record is from RNAcentral.
UACGUAGGGGACCAGCGUUGUCCGGAUUUACUGGGCGUAAAGAGCGCGCAGGCGGUCUUUCAAGUCGAGUGUGAAAGCCCCCGGCUCAACUGGGGAGGGUCACUCGAUACUGGUCGACUUGAAGGCAGGAGAGGGAAGCGGAAUUCCCGGUGUAGUGGUGAAAUGCGUAGAUAUCGGUUGGAACGCCAAUGGCGAAAACAGGUAGCUGGGGAUGAGCUGACGCUGAGACACGAAAGCCAGGGGAGCAAACGGG